CUGGUUGAUCCUGCCAGUAGUGAUACGCUGUCAUUAAGGACUAAGCCAUGCAUGUGUAAGUAUAAGAAGUACUCGAGACUGCGAAUGGCUCAUUAUAUCAGUUAUAGUAUAUUUGAUAGUCCCUUACUACUUGGAUAACCGUAGUAAUUCUAGAGCUAAUACAUGCGUCAAGAUCCGACUUCGGGAGGAUUGUAUUUAUUAGGUUACAAAACCAACCCUCUCUCGGGAGGUAGUUUGGGUGAGUCAUGAUAAGCAUGCGGAUCGCAGGGCUUUACGCCGGCGACGGAUCAUGUAAGUUCCU
This 301-nucleotide ribosomal RNA is filed under the name uncultured eukaryote. RNAcentral's name for it is "SSU rRNA". It matches the Rfam family "Eukaryotic small subunit ribosomal RNA", at positions 4 to 308 of the family's 1831-position model. The record is from RNAcentral.